Molecule: ribosomal RNA, 301 nt
Filed under: uncultured Howardella sp.
Lineage: Bacteria; Bacillati; Bacillota; Clostridia; Eubacteriales
Description: bacterial SSU rRNA
Rfam family: Bacterial small subunit ribosomal RNA
Source: RNAcentral
ACGGCUAACUCCUGGACAGGAUGCGGGGUAAUACGGGGGAUCCAGGCGUGAUCCGGAAUCAUUGGGGUUAAAGGGUCCGUAGGCGGUCUUAUAAGUCAGUGGUGAAAGCCCAUAGCUCAACGAUGGAACUGCCAUUGAUACUGUAAGACUUGAAUGCUUAGGAAGUAACUAGAAUAUGUAGUGUAGCGGUGAAAUGCUUAGAUAUUACAUGGAAUACCAAUUGCGAAGGCAGGUUACUACUAAGUGAUUGACGCUGAUGGACGAAAGCGUGGGGAGCGAACAGGAUUAGAUACCCGUAGUC